This 497-nucleotide ribosomal RNA is filed under the name uncultured bacterium. RNAcentral describes it as "partial 16S ribosomal RNA". It matches the Rfam family "Bacterial small subunit ribosomal RNA", at positions 28 to 507 of the family's 1533-position model. The record is from RNAcentral.
GAUGAACGCUGGCGGCGUGCCUAAUACAUGCAAGUCGAGCGAACAGACGAGGAGCUUGCUCCUCUGACGUUAGCGGCGGACGGGUGAGUAACACGUGGAUAACCUACCUAUAAGACUGGGAUAACUUCGGGAAACCGGAGCUAAUACCGGAUAAUAUAUUGAACCGCAUGGUUCAAUAGUGAAAGACGGUUUUGCUGUCACUUAUAGAUGGAUCCGCGCCGCAUUAGCUAGUUGGUAAGGUAACGGCUUACCAAGGCAACGAUGCGUAGCCGACCUGAGAGGGUGAUCGGCCACACUGGAACUGAGACACGGUCCAGACUCCUACGGGAGGCAGCAGUAGGGAAUCUUCCGCAAAGGGCGAAAGCUUGACGGAGCAACGCCGCGUGAGUGAUGAAGGUCGUCGGAUCGUAAAACUCUGUUAUUAGGGAAGAACAAAUGUGUAAGUAACUAUGCACGUCUUGACGGUACCUAAUCAGAAAGCCACGGCUAACUACGUG